Molecule: ribosomal RNA, 197 nt
Filed under: uncultured bacterium
Lineage: Bacteria
Description: partial 16S ribosomal RNA
Rfam family: Bacterial small subunit ribosomal RNA
Source: RNAcentral
ACUCCUACGGGAGGCAGCAGUGGGGAAUUUUGGACAAUGGGCGCAAGCCUGAUCCAGCAAUGCCGCGUGCAGGAUGAAGGCCUUCGGGUUGUAAACUGCUUUUGUACGGAACGAAAAGGCGCCUUCUAAUACAGGGCGCUCAUGACGGUACCGUAAGAAUAAGCACCGGCUAACUACGUGCCAGCAGCCGCGGUAAU